This 253-nucleotide ribosomal RNA is filed under the name uncultured bacterium. RNAcentral's name for it is "partial 16S ribosomal RNA". It matches the Rfam family "Bacterial small subunit ribosomal RNA", at positions 524 to 776 of the family's 1533-position model. The record is from RNAcentral.
UACGUAGGGGGCUAGCGUUGUCCGGAUUUAUUGGGCGUAAAGAGCGUGUAGGCGGCCAUGUAGGUCCGGUGUGAAAACUCGAGGCUUAACCUCGAGAUGUCAUCGGAAACCAUUUGGCUAGAGUCCGGAAGAGGAGAGUGGAAUUCCUGGUGUAGCGGUGAAAUGCGCAGAUAUCAGGAAGAACACCAAUGGCGAAAGCAGCUCUCUGGGACGGUACUGACGCUGAGACGCGAAAGCGUGGGGAGCGAUCCGG